UGGCGGCGUGCCGUAACACAUGCAAGUCGAGCGGAGACGAUGCGACGGACCGUGAAGAUUCGGUUGGAUGGGAAGAUGUAUGUUUUAGCGGCGGACGGGUGAGUAACGCGUGAGCAACCUGUCCCUUACAGGGGGAUAACACAGCGAAAGUUGUACUAAUACCGCAUAAGACCACAGGGCCACAUGGUCCAGGGGUCAAAGGAGCAAGUCCGGUAAGGGGUGGGCUCGCGUCCGAUUAGAUAGUUGGUGAGGUAACGGCCCACCAAGUCGACGAUCGGUAGCCGACCUGAGAGGGUGAUCGGCCACAUUGGGACUGAGACACGGCCCAAACUCCUACGGGAGGCAGCAGUGGGGAAUAUUGGGGCCAAUGGGGGAAACCCUGACCCAGCAACGCCGCGUGAGGGAAGAAGGUUUUCGGAUCGUAAACCUCUGUCCUUGGUGAAGAGGAAGAGACGGUAGCCAAGGAGGAAGCCCCGGCUAACUACGUGCCAGCCGCGGC
RNAcentral lists this ribosomal RNA (499 nucleotides) under uncultured bacterium. RNAcentral describes it as "bacterial SSU rRNA". It matches the Rfam family "Bacterial small subunit ribosomal RNA", at positions 37 to 518 of the family's 1533-position model. The record is from RNAcentral.